This 224-nucleotide ribosomal RNA is filed under the name uncultured bacterium. RNAcentral describes it as "partial 16S ribosomal RNA". It matches the Rfam family "Bacterial small subunit ribosomal RNA", at positions 15 to 230 of the family's 1533-position model. The record is from RNAcentral.
GAUCCUGGCUCAGGAUGAACGCUAGCGGCAGGCUUAACACAUGCAAGUCGAGGGGCAGCGGGAUUGAAGCUUGCUUCAAUUGCCGGCGACCGGCGCACGGGUGAGUAACGCGUAUCCAACCUUCCGUACACUCAGGGAUAGCCUUUCGAAAGAAAGAUUAAUACCUGAUGGUAUGAUGAGAUUGCAUGAUAUCAUCAUUAAAGAUUUAUCGGUGUACGAUGGGG